GUGCCAGCAGCCGCGGUAAUACGUAGGGUGCUAGCGUUGUUCGGAAUCAUUGGGCGUAAAGCGCGUGCAGGCUGUUAGUUAAGUCGGAUGUGAAAUCCCUGGGCUCAACCGAGGAAGUGCAUUCGAAACUCACUAGCUAGAAGAUGGUAGAGGAAGGUGGAAUUCCAAGUGUAGAGGUGAAAUUCGUAGAUAUUUGGAGGAAUACCGGUGGCGAAGGCGGCCUUCUGGACCAUUCUUGACGCUGAGACGCGAAAGCGUGGGUAGCAAACAGGAUUAGAUACCCGCGUAGUCC
RNAcentral lists this ribosomal RNA (292 nucleotides) under uncultured bacterium. RNAcentral describes it as "partial 16S ribosomal RNA". It matches the Rfam family "Bacterial small subunit ribosomal RNA", at positions 505 to 796 of the family's 1533-position model. The record is from RNAcentral.